Molecule: ribosomal RNA, 464 nt
Filed under: uncultured bacterium
Lineage: Bacteria
Description: partial 16S ribosomal RNA
Rfam family: Bacterial small subunit ribosomal RNA
Source: RNAcentral
GACGAACGCUGGCGGCGUGCUUAACACAUGCAAGUCGAACGGAAAGGCCCAGCUUGCUGGGUGCUCGAGUGGCGAACGGGUGAGUAACACGUGGGUGAUCUGCCUCUAACUUCGGGAUAAGCCUGGGAAACUGGGUCUAAUACCGGAUAUGACAAUCGUUUAGUGUCGGUUGUGGAAAGUUUUUUCGGUUAGGGAUGAGCCCGCGGCCUAUCAGCUUGUUGGUGGGGUAAUGGCCUACCAAGGCGUCGACGGGUAGCCGGCCUGAGAGGGUGGACGGCCACAGUGGGAAGGAGAGACGGGCGAGACUCCGACUGGAGGCAGCAGGGGGGAAGAUUGCACAAGGGGAGGAAGCCGGAGGCAGCAACGCCGCGGGCGGGAUGAUGGCCGUGGGGUUGUAAACCGCUUGCGCCUGUGACGAAGCGUGAGUGACGGUAAUGGGUAAAGAAGAAAGGGCUAACUAAGUG